GAUGAACGCUGGCGGCGUGCUUAACACAUGCAAGUCGAACGGGAAACCUUUUAUUGAAGCUUCGGCAGAUUUAGCUGGUUUCUAGUGGCGGACGGGUGAGUAACGCGUGGGUAACCUGCCUUAUACAGGGGGAUAACAACCAGAAAUGUUUGCUAAUACCGCAUAAGCGCACAGGACCGCAUGGUCCGGUGUGAAAAACUCCGGUGGUAUAAGAUGGACCCGCGUUGGAUUAGCUAGUUGGCAGGGUAACGGCCUACCAAGGCGACGAUCCAUAGCCGGCCUGAGAGGGUGAACGGCCACAUUGGGACUGAGACACGGCCCAGACUACUACGGGAGGCAGCAGUGGGGAAUAUUGCACAAUGGGGGAAACCCUGAUGCAGCGACGCCGCGUGAAGGAAGAAGUUUCUCGGUAUGUAAACUUCUAUCAGCAGGGAAGAUAGUGACGGUACCUGACUAAGAAGCCCCGGCUAACUACGUG
This 478-nucleotide ribosomal RNA is filed under the name uncultured bacterium. RNAcentral describes it as "partial 16S ribosomal RNA". It matches the Rfam family "Bacterial small subunit ribosomal RNA", at positions 28 to 507 of the family's 1533-position model. The record is from RNAcentral.